GACUCUUCUGUCACAGUGUGGUCAGAGUCAUGCCAGGAAAACCUGCACCCAUCAAGAAGUCCCCGGCCAAGAAGGCCGCAGGGAAGACUUCUCCUGAGGCCGCUUCUCCUGAGGCUGCUUCUCCUGAGACUGUCCCUGAGAAGGUUCCUGAGCCUGAACCUGCUCCUGUAGAAGAUGUUCCUCCACCUGUAGAAGCUCCAGCAUCAGCUCAAGCUGUAGCUGAAACACCAGCUGCUCCGGCUACUGCUCCUGCUCCUGCUCCUGCUCCUGCUCCUGCUCCUGCUCCUGCUCCUGCUCCUGCUCCUGCUCCUGCUCCUGCUCCUGCUCCUGCUCCUGCAGCUCCAGCUCCAGCUGCUCCAGCAGACGCUGUCGUAGCCGAGGAGCCGCCCAAAGCGCCAACACCGCCCCCUGCUGCAGGCUCAUCUGACCGUCCUCCAGCUCCCAGCAGCGCUCCUCUGGACGUGUCUUUGGACGACGUGAGCGACUCCAGCUUCACCAUCAAGUGGGACAUGCCGGCGACAAUCGGAGCCACCGGCCUUGAGGGAUACACCAUCGAGUACCGCAAGGAUGGAACGUCAGACUGGAUUGUCGCUAACGAGUAUCCGACGCAAGGGAACCACUACUGCAUCAAGAACCUGACGACCGGCGACCUGAUGCACGCCCGCGUGUUUGCAGUUAACCGUGCAGCUCGAAGUGAACCUGCCGUCCUGGCCGAGCCUGUGAUAAUCCGUGAGAUUGGGGAUCGUCCCAAGAUCCGCAUGCCGCGCAUUCUCCGCUCUCGCUACAUCCGAAAGGUCGGAGAGCAGGUCAACGUGGUCAUUCCAUUUCUCGGGAAACCCAAACCCGUGGUGUCGUGGCUGAAGAACGGUCAGCCUCUGGACACGAAGAGGGUCAACAUCAGGAACAGCAACCGCGACAGCAUCGUGUUCAUCCGCUCGGCCGAGAGGGAGGACUCCGGCGAUUAUGAGAUGACCGUCAAAGUGGACAGCUUUGAAGACAAAGCCACAAUCGUGCUGCAGAUUGUGGAGCUGCCUGGUCCUCCUGCCAGUGUGAAGCUGGUCGAUGCCUGGGGCUUCAACGCUUCCCUUGAAUGGACUCCUCCAAAGGACAAUGGCAACUCAGACAUCACCGGCUACACCGUUCAGAAGGCAGACAAGAAAACCGGGGACUGGUUCACGGUGCUGGAGCAUUUCCACAGACUCAGUGUCACCGUCACCGACCUCGUCAUGGGAAACUCGUACGUAUUCAGGGUGUUCGCCGAGAACCAAGUGGGGCGGAGUCAGACGGCUGCCGUCACCAAAAAGGUGGCCACCGUCCCGAAGACAGGUAUCGUCUAUAAACCUCCUCAGUACGUGGACCACGACUUCGCCGAGGCGCCGAAGUUCACCACGCCCCUGAGCAACCACGCCGCCACAGUGGGAUACACCACCAAGCUGCUGUGUGCUGUCCGUGGAUGCCCCAUGCCAAAGAUCGAGUGGAUGAAAAACCAGAUGAUCAUCGGUGACGACCCAAAGUACCGACAGAUCUCAACCCAGGGCGUCUGCUCGCUGGAGAUCAGGAAGCCCAGCCCCUUCGACGGCGGCGUGUACACCUGCAGAGCCAAGAACGACCAGGGGGAGGCAGUGGUCUCCUGCAAACUGGAGGUCAAGAAGGUGAUUCAUCCAGACGCAGAGAAGGGCAAAUAAACUAAUGAGUGCCUUUAAUGGACCAGCAGAAGUCCAGGUCUUAUGUUUGAAGAGAGUUUGAGGAGCUGAGAGAAGAAACAGUGUGUACAUAAUGAAGAAAGAAGAAGAAAUGAAUGGCGCAACGUUGCUGCUCCACCAGACGUCCCACUGUAUGUCGACUUAGUUGGUGAAAUGUAUGUGAGUCUAUAUUUACCAUUUGCUGUCUGUCAUAGUCGAUCUUCACGUUCUGCUCAAUAAACCUGCUGACGUGCUCCUGUCAUGACUGUAUGGAUGUUUUAAUAAAGGAAGUGUAUUUAUUGUA
Molecule: RNA transcript, 1986 nt
Organism: Solea solea (common sole)
Lineage: Eukaryota; Metazoa; Chordata; Actinopteri; Pleuronectiformes; Soleidae
Gene: mybpha
Gene name: myosin binding protein Ha
Exons: 13
Source: RefSeq, a predicted model, not a curated record